GGUAAGACGUAGGACGCAAGCGUUAUCCGGAUUUACUGGGCGUAAAGCGCCUGUAGCCGGUCAAGUAAGUCGGAUGUGAAAGCCCCGUGCUCAACGCGGGGAAGCCAUUCGAUACUGCGUGACUAGAGAACGGCAGAGGGAAACGGAAUUUCUGGUGUAGCGGUAAAAUGCGCAGAGAUCAGAAAGAACACCGAUGGCGAAGGCAGUUUCCUAGGCCGCAUCUGACGCUGAGAGGCGAAAGCUAGGGGAGCAAACAGGAUUAGAGACCCUGGUAGUCCUAGCUGUAAACGAUGGAUGCUAGGUGUGGGCCGGAAAGGUCCGUGCCGUAGUUAACGCGAUAAGCAUCCCGCCUGGGGAGUACGGCCGCAAGGCUAAAACUCAAACGAAUUGACGGGGACCCGCACAAGCAGCGGAGCGUGUGGUUUAAUUCGAUGCUACACGCAGAACCUUACCUGGGCUUGACAUGUAGGUGGUAGUGAAGUGAAAGCGGAGCGACCCUUCGGGGAGCCUACACAGGUGCUGCAUGGCUGUCGUCAGCUCGUGCCGUGAGGUGUCGGGUUAAGUCCCGUAACGAGCGCAACCCUUGUCCUUAGUUACAAGUGUCUAAGGAGACUGCCGGUGACAAACCGGAGGAAGGUGGGGAUGACGUCAAGUCAGCAUGGCCCUUAUGUCCAGGGCGACACACACGCUACAAUGGUCGGUACAAUGGGCAGCGCAGCCGCGAGGUGAAGCGAAUCCCAACAAAGCCGAUCCCAGUUCGGAUUGCAGGCCGCAACCCGCCUGCAUGAAGCCGGAGUUGCUAGUAACCGCGCGUCAGCCAUAGUGCGGUGAUACGUUCCCGGGUCUUGUACGCACCGCCCGUCACGUCAUGGGAGUUGGUAACGCCUGAAGCCGGUAGUCUGACCUAACGGAGGACGCCGUCGAAGGCGGGACU
This 934-nucleotide ribosomal RNA is filed under the name uncultured organism. RNAcentral describes it as "bacterial SSU rRNA". It matches the Rfam family "Bacterial small subunit ribosomal RNA", at positions 519 to 1469 of the family's 1533-position model. The record is from RNAcentral.